GAUGAACGCUGGCGGCGUGCCUAAUACAUGCAAGUCGAGCGAACGGACGAGAAGCUUGCUUCUCUGAUGUUAGCGGCGGACGGGUGAGUAACACGUGGAUAACCUACCUAUAAGACUGGGAUAACUUCGGGAAACCGGAGCUAAUACCGGAUAAUAUUUUGAACCGCAUGGUUCAAAAGUGAAAGACGGUCUUGCUGUCACUUAUAGAUGGAUCCGCGCUGCAUUAGCUAGUUGGUAAGGUAACGGCUUACCAAGGCAACGAUGCAUAGCCGACCUGAGAGGGUGAUCGGCCACACUGGAACAGAGACACGGGACAGACGCCUACGGGAGGCAGCAGUAGGGAAUCUUCCGCAAGGGGCGAAAGCCUGAAGGAGCAACGCCGCGGGAGUGAUGAAGGUCUUCGGAUCGUAAAACUCUGUUAUUAGGGAAGAACAUAUGUGUAAGUAACUGUGCACAUCUUGACGGUACCGAAUCAGAAAGCCACGGCUAACUACGU
RNAcentral lists this ribosomal RNA (496 nucleotides) under uncultured bacterium. RNAcentral's name for it is "partial 16S ribosomal RNA". It matches the Rfam family "Bacterial small subunit ribosomal RNA", at positions 28 to 506 of the family's 1533-position model. The record is from RNAcentral.